This 465-nucleotide ribosomal RNA is filed under the name Vreelandella stevensii. RNAcentral's name for it is "partial 16S ribosomal RNA". It matches the Rfam family "Bacterial small subunit ribosomal RNA", at positions 338 to 795 of the family's 1533-position model. The record is from RNAcentral. Lineage: Bacteria; Pseudomonadati; Pseudomonadota; Gammaproteobacteria; Oceanospirillales; Halomonadaceae.
CCUACGGGGGGCUGCAGUGGGGAAUAUUGGACAAUGGGGGGAACCCUGAUCCAGCCAUGCCGCGUGUGUGAAGAAGGCCCUCGGGUUGUAAAGCACUUUCAGUGAGGAAGAACGCCUGGUGGUUAAUACCCAUCAGGAAAGACAUCACUCACAGAAGAAGCACCGGCUAACUCCGUGCCAGCAGCCGCGGUAAUACGGAGGGUGCGAGCGUUAAUCGGAAUUACUGGGCGUAAAGCGCGCGUAGGUGGCUUGAUAAGCCGGUUGUGAAAGCCCCGGGCUCAACCUGGGAACGGCAUCCGGACCUGUUGAGGUGGAGGGCAGGAGAGGAAGGUAGCCGUGCGAGUGGAGAGGGGACGCGCGGGGAGAGCGGGAGGAACAGCAGGGGCACAGGGGGGGGUCGGGACGGACAAUGGCACGGUGGUGCGAAGGCGUGGGUAGCAAACCGGCGAUGAUAGCGGGGGGGUC